This 1437-nucleotide ribosomal RNA is filed under the name Xenocylapidius sp. UNSW ENT 00029093. RNAcentral describes it as "SSU rRNA". It matches the Rfam family "Eukaryotic small subunit ribosomal RNA", at positions 425 to 1773 of the family's 1831-position model. The record is from RNAcentral. Lineage: Eukaryota; Metazoa; Arthropoda; Insecta; Hemiptera; Miridae.
GCAGCAGGCACGCAAAUUACCCACUCCCGGCACGGGGAGGUAGUGACAAAAAAUAACGAUACGGGACUCUUUUGAGGCCCCGUAAUCGGAAUGAGUACACUUUAAAUCCUUUAACAAGGAUCCAUUGGAGGGCAAGUCUGGUGCCAGCAGCCGCGGUAAUUCCAGCUCCAAUAGCGUAUAUUAAAGUUGUUGCGGUUAAAAAGCUCGUAGUUGGUUCUGCGUGCUACGCUGCCGGUUCGCCGCCUGCCGGUGUAACUGGCAUGUCGUGGCAUGUCCUGUCGGUGGCGAAUGGGAGCCUUGUCUAGGAGACGGCCCAGGUCAAAAGCUUGGUGCCGUAGGCCGGAGGUCAAACCCGUUCGCCUACUCUAUCCUACCUAGGUGCUCUUAAACGAGUGUCGAGGUAGGCCGACACGUUUACUUUGAACAAAUUAGAGUGCUCAAAGCAGGCUGAAAUCUCUGCCUGAAUAGUGGUGCAUGGAAUAAUAAAACAGGACCUUGGUUCUAUUUUGUUGGUUCUUAAGAACACAAGGUAAUGAUCAAUACGGACAGGCGGGGGCAUUCGUAUUGCGACGUUAGAGGUGAAAUUCUUGGAUCGUCGCAAGACGCACAAGAGCGAAAGCAUUUGCCAAGUAUGUCUUGAUUGAUCAAGAACGAAAGUUAGAGGUUCGAAGGCGAUCAGAUACCGCCCUAGUUCUAACCAUAAACGAUGCCAGCCAGCGAUCCGCCGAUGUUCCUCCGAUGACUCGGCGGGGAGCUUCUUCCCGGGAAACCAAAGCUUUUGGGUUCCGGGGGAAGUAUGGUUGCAAAGCUGAAACUUAAAGGAAUUGACGGAAGGGCACCACCAGGAGUGGAGCCUGCGGCUUAAUUUGACUCAACACGGGAAACCUCACCAGGCCAGGACAUUGGAAGGAUUGACAGAUUGAUAGCUCUUUCUUGAUUCAGUGGGUAGUGGUGCAUGGCCGUUCUUAGUUGGUGGAUCGAUUUGUCUGGUUAAUUCCGAUAACGAACGAGACUCUAGCCUAUUAACUAGGCGCUUACCGGUGUCCUCGCCACCGGCGACACUCAUUCUUCUUAAGGGGACAGGCGGCUUACAGCCGCACGAGAUUGAGCAAUAACAGGUCUGUGAUGCCCUUAGAUGUCCUGGGCCGCACGCGCGCUACACUGAAGGAAUCAGCGUGUGCCUCCCUGGCCGAAAGGCCCGGGUAAUCCGCUGAACCUCCUGCGUGCUAGGAAUUGGGGCUUGCAAUUGUUCCCCAUGAACGAGGAAUUCCCAGUAAGCGCGAGUCAUAAGCUCGCGUUGAUUACGUCCCUGCCCUUUGUACACACCGCCCGUCGCUACUACCGAUUGAAUGAUUUAGUGAGGUCUUCGGACUGGCGGUAAUCCUACUGAUUCGUUAGUAUCGAUGAACGCUGGAAAGAUGACCAAACUUGAUCAUU